CCUGGUUUUGGUCGCAGUAGCUCUCCCAGCGUAAUCAGGUAUCAUCCUCGUUGCUUGGUAAGCUUAGUGUUGAUAAUUGCUAGUUGAUUGCCUGAAGCAAGACAAUGAUUGAAAUGACACGGCUAAGUGCAAAUUGGAAUGCUUAUGAAUUAUGUUUUUAUUAGUUUCUAAUUUUAUAUUAAGAUUCAUGUGAAUGUCUGAAGUUACUGUCAUGUGACUGAUGAAUAUUAGCUUAGGAAGAUCGGUGGAUAUUUUCGAAUCUCAGUUGCUCCGCAUUUGAUAGUAUUGGAAGUGAAUUCCUGUUACAGGUCAGCAUCUGAGUCCAGUCGGGCCACUAGACCUACUGCAAGUUCGGUCAAGACAGCUCCUACUACAAUUGAUGAUCCCUUUAUGGUGUUAGAGUCAACGUCAGCUCCUGCAACAGCACCAUCAUCGGAGUCCUUUCCAGAUCCAUUAGAUGAGAUUGGUA
This 469-nucleotide long non-coding RNA is filed under the name Linum usitatissimum (flax). RNAcentral's name for it is "long non-coding RNA (LUSI_LNC001669)". Lineage: Eukaryota; Viridiplantae; Streptophyta; Magnoliopsida; Malpighiales; Linaceae. The record is from RNAcentral.